Pipistrellus kuhlii (Kuhl's pipistrelle) is the source of this 700-nucleotide long non-coding RNA. RefSeq lists it as uncharacterized. The transcript has 2 exons. Lineage: Eukaryota; Metazoa; Chordata; Mammalia; Chiroptera; Vespertilionidae. The record is from RefSeq and is a predicted model, not a curated record.
AUCAUAAAAUAACUUCCAGUUUGACUUUUGAAAGUUGUAGUUUAGCAAUAAAGCAGAUUUGAUUUUUUUUUCUCAGAACUUGCUCCACUACCUUAAUAAAAGCUUGUGAAUUUGUUAGAGAAAAUAUAGUAGAAGCCCUCUUAUCCAAAAUGAUUGGGACCAGUAGUUUGGUUAAUCAAAACAAGAUGAAUUUGCAUUGGACUCUACUCCCCCCCCCCCCCAUAAGUCAUAUCCAUAAUGCAUUGUCUAUGAGUCUUUUGAGUUUCUAUGAAGAACUAAGUAAUCUGAGAGCUAAUGCCUAUCUAUAUCUUUAUAUUUUUUUCUGAAACCAUUUAUAUUUCUUUAUUUAAUCUGACAGUAUUUUUGAUGAUUUGCCUUUAUUGAGGUUUUUCUGAGUAUCAAUUUAGUUUUCAUAGAAACAAUUUUAAAAUGUAAUAUAUAUAAUUAAAUAACAUAAUUAUAGUAGUAACUAAUGGUGACUUAUAACAAGUUUUGGGAACAAAUCACCUGAUUUCUUGGAAGUAUUCUGAAAGGAUACGUUUCCACUGGUCAGCAGACACACAAUAGCAUUAUGCAGACUGGUUAAGAAUAUGGAAACUGGGUCUAAACUAGCUGCAUUUGAAUCCUAGCUCUAACACUUAUUAGCUUUGUGACUUGGGCAAAUAAUUUAUCAUGUCUAUAGUUUUAUUUCCUCAUCUGU